GACGUAGGGCGCGAGCGUUGUCCGGAUUUAUUGGGCGUAAAGAGCUCGUAGGCGGCUUGUCGCGUCGACUGUGAAAUCCCGCGGCUCAACUGCGGGUCUGCAGUCGAUACGGGCAGGCUAGAGUUCGGUAGGGGAGACUGGAAUUCCUGGUGUAGCGGUGAAAUGCGCAGAUAUCAGGAGGAACACCGGUGGCGAAGGCGGGUCUCUGGGCAGUAACUGACGCUGAGGAGCGAAAGCAUGGGGAGCGAACAGG
This 253-nucleotide ribosomal RNA is filed under the name uncultured bacterium. RNAcentral describes it as "partial 16S ribosomal RNA". It matches the Rfam family "Bacterial small subunit ribosomal RNA", at positions 524 to 776 of the family's 1533-position model. The record is from RNAcentral.